Molecule: small nucleolar RNA, 127 nt
Organism: Triplophysa rosa
Lineage: Eukaryota; Metazoa; Chordata; Actinopteri; Cypriniformes; Nemacheilidae
Product: small nucleolar RNA SNORA65
Exons: 1
Source: RefSeq, a predicted model, not a curated record
CCCGCCACUAAGCAUGUCUGAUAAAGUGACAGUGUUUAAUCCAGUGGAGGCUGAUAGUGACCCAGCUCUAGGAAGCAGGGCUGCUCAACUAAGUGGGUAACCUUGUGCCAAAUGAUUUGGAACAAUG